Molecule: ribosomal RNA, 348 nt
Filed under: uncultured bacterium
Lineage: Bacteria
Description: bacterial SSU rRNA
Rfam family: Bacterial small subunit ribosomal RNA
Source: RNAcentral
GGCCCCGCACAAGCGGUGGAGUAUGUGGUUUAAUUCGAUGCAACGCGAAGACCUUACCAGGGCUUAAAUGUAGUGGGACAGGUCUAGAGAUAGACCCUUCUUCGGACUCAUUACAAGGUGCUGCAUGGUUGUCGUCAGCUCGUGCCGUGAGGUGUCAGGUUAAGUCCUAUAACGAGCGCAACCCCUAUCGUUAGUUGCCAGCGGGUAAUGCCGGGAACUCUAGCGAAACUGCCGGUGCAAACCGAGAGGAAGGUGGGGAUGACGUCAAAUCAUCACGGCCCUUACGUCCUGGCUACACACGUGCUACAAUGGCCGGUACAGAGAGCAGCCACUACGCGAGUAGGAGCG